Long non-coding RNA from Carassius carassius (crucian carp), 351 nucleotides. RefSeq lists it as uncharacterized. The record is from RefSeq and is a predicted model, not a curated record. The transcript is spliced from 2 exons. Lineage: Eukaryota; Metazoa; Chordata; Actinopteri; Cypriniformes; Cyprinidae.
CUCAUAAACAAAAUUAAUGAUGUGUCAGAAUCCAGACUUAAUACUGUGGAUGGUUUUUGUGGAAGUGGACCACACUACAAUCGAGAUGGCUUUUCUGUUUAACCCUUAACAGAAGCAUAAAGAGGAUACUGCUUUCAUGAAGGAUGCACUUAUGUUUCCUGCAUGAACACAAGCCACCGGCCCAAAUCAUUAUCUGCAAUGUGUAAGAUUUGACAUGGUGUAGCUCAUAAGAAUAUAGUAAUUAUUAAACUUUGUGGUUUGGAGGGAUUGUUCUUUUAUGCUGGUUUACGGAGGGUGAUUUUAUCCCAAUAUCAUAAGGCAAAGAUAAUGCAAAUGUGAAAUGGAUUGUCA